This 1326-nucleotide ribosomal RNA is filed under the name Vibrio sp. 4B7. RNAcentral's name for it is "bacterial SSU rRNA". It matches the Rfam family "Bacterial small subunit ribosomal RNA", at positions 93 to 1414 of the family's 1533-position model. The record is from RNAcentral. Lineage: Bacteria; Pseudomonadati; Pseudomonadota; Gammaproteobacteria; Vibrionales; Vibrionaceae.
GAGCGGCGGACGGGUGAGUAAUGCCUAGAGAAAUUGCCCUGAUGUGGGGGAUAACCAUUGGAAACGAUGGCUAAUACCGCAUAAUGCCUACGGGCCAAAGAGGGGGACCUUCGGGCCUCUCGCGUCAGGAUAUGCCUAGGUGGGAUUAGCUAGUUGGUGAGGUAAUGGCUCACCAAGGCGACUAUCCCUAGCUGGUCUGAGAGGAUGAUCAGCCACACUGGAACUGAGACACGGUCCAGACUCCUACGGGAGGCAGCAGUGGGGAAUAUUGCACAAUGGGCGCAAGCCUGAUGCAGCCAUGCCGCGUGUGUGAAGAAGGCCUUCGGGUUGUAAAGCACUUUCAGUCGUGAGGAAGGUGGUAGUGUUAAUAGCACUAUCAUUUGACGUUAGCGACAGAAGAAGCACCGGCUAACUCCGUGCCAGCAGCCGCGGUAAUACGGAGGGUGCGAGCGUUAAUCGGAAUUACUGGGCGUAAAGCGCAUGCACGUGGUUUGUUAAGUCAGAUGUGAAAGCCCGGGGCUCAACCUCGGAAUAGCAUUUGAAACUGGCAGACUAGAGUACUGUAGAGGGGGGUAGAAUUUCAGGUGUAGCGGUGAAAUGCGUAGAGAUCUGAAGGAAUACCGGUGGCGAAGGCGGCCCCCUGGACAGAUACUGACACUCAGAUGCGAAAGCGUGGGGAGCAAACAGGAUUAGAUACCCUGGUAGUCCACGCCGUAAACGAUGUCUACUUGGAGGUUGUGGCCUUGAGCCGUGGCUUUCGGAGCUAACGCGUUAAGUAGACCGCCUGGGGAGUACGGUCGCAAGAUUAAAACUCAAAUGAAUUGACGGGGGCCCGCACAAGCGGUGGAGCAUGUGGUUUAAUUCGAUGCAACGCGAAGAACCUUACCUACUCUUGACAUCCAGAGAACUUUCCAGAGAUGGAUUGGUGCCUUCGGGAACUCUGAGACAGGUGCUGCAUGGCUGUCGUCAGCUCGUGUUGUGAAAUGUUGGGUUAAGUCCCGCAACGAGCGCAACCCUUAUCCUUGUUUGCCAGCGAGUAAUGUCGGGAACUCCAGGGAGACUGCCGGUGAUAAACCGGAGGAAGGUGGGGACGACGUCAAGUCAUCAUGGCCCUUACGAGUAGGGCUACACACGUGCUACAAUGGCGCAUACAGAGGGCAGCAAGCUAGCGAUAGUGAGCGAAUCCCAAAAAGUGCGUCGUAGUCCGGAUUGGAGUCUGCAACUCGACUCCAUGAAGUCGGAAUCGCUAGUAAUCGUGGAUCAGAAUGCCACGGUGAAUACGUUCCCGGGCCUUGUACACACCGCCCGUCACACCAUGGGAGUGGG